AGAGUUUGAUCCUGGCUCAGAUUGAACGCUGGCGGCGUGCUUAACACAUGCAAGUCGAGCGAGAAAGUCCGCUUCGGUGGAUGAGUACAGCGGCGCACGGGUGAGUAACGCGUGGAUAUCUACCGUUGGAUUCGGGAUAACAGAUGGAAACGUCUGCUAAUACCGAAUACGCUGGUAACGGGAAAGGUGGCCUCUUCAUGAACGCUACCGUCCGACGAUGAGUCCGCGUCUCAUUAGCUUGUUGGUGGGGUAAUGGCCUACCAAGGCAACGAUGAGUAGCUGGUCUGAGAGGAUGAUCAGCCACACUGGGACUGGAACACGGCCCAGACUCCUACGGGAGGCAGCAGUGGGGAAUAUUGCGCAAUGGGGGAAACCCUGACGCAGCGACGCCGUGUGAGGGAAGAAGGCCUUCGGGUCGUAAACCUCUGUCAGGAGGGAAGAAAUGUAUGGAUUCUAACAGGUUCCAUAUUUGACGGCACCUCCAGAGGAAGCACCGGCUAACUCCGUGCCAGCAGCCGCGGUAAUACGGAGGGUGCAAGCGUUAAUCGGAAUCACUGGGCGUAAAGCGCACGUAGGCGGCUUGGUAAGUCAAAUGUGAAAGCCCUCGGCCCAACCGAGGAACUGCAUUCGAAACUGCCAAGCUCGAGUCCGGGAGGGGGUAGCGGAAUUCCUGGUGUAGGAGUGAAAUCCGUAGAUAUCAGGAGGAACACCGGUGGCGAAGGCGGCUACCUGGGACCGUACUGACGCUGAGGUGCGAAAGCGUGGGGAGCAACAGGAUUAGAUACCCUGGUAGUCCACGCCGUA
This 804-nucleotide ribosomal RNA is filed under the name uncultured Pseudomonadota bacterium. Its description in RNAcentral is "bacterial SSU rRNA". It matches the Rfam family "Bacterial small subunit ribosomal RNA", at positions 8 to 804 of the family's 1533-position model. Lineage: Bacteria; Pseudomonadati; Pseudomonadota. The record is from RNAcentral.